AUUUAGCUUGCUAAAUAGAUAGCGGCGAACGGGUGAGUAAUACCUAGGAAUCUGCCUGAUAGUGGGGGACAACGUGUGGAAACGCACGCUAAUACCGCAUACGUCCUACGGGAGAAAGGGGGCUUUUCGGAGCUCUCGCUAACAGAUGAGCCUAGGUCAGAUUAGCUAGUUGGUAGGGUAAAGGCCUACCAAGGCGACGAUCUGUAGCGGGUCUGAGAGGAUGAUCCGCCACACUGGAACUGAGACACGGUCCAGACUCCUACGGGAGGCAGCAGUGGGGAAUAUUGGACAAUGGGCGAAAGCCUGAUCCAGCCAUGCCGCGUGUGUGAAGAAGGCCUUUUGGUUGUAAAGCACUUUAAGCGGGGAGGAGGGCACCACGGUUAAUACCCGUGAAUGUCGGACGUUACCCGCAGAAUAAGCACCGGCUAACUCUGUGCCAGCAGCCGCGGUAAUACAGAGGGUGCGAGCGUUAAUCGGAAUUACUGGGCGUAAAGCGCGCGUAGGCGGCUUGUUAAGUCGGAUGUG
This 525-nucleotide ribosomal RNA is filed under the name uncultured bacterium. RNAcentral's name for it is "bacterial SSU rRNA". It matches the Rfam family "Bacterial small subunit ribosomal RNA", at positions 73 to 596 of the family's 1533-position model. The record is from RNAcentral.